GGGUGAGAGAUUUUAGAACCAGU
RNAcentral lists this non-coding RNA (23 nucleotides) under Cricetulus griseus (Chinese hamster). The record is from RNAcentral. Lineage: Eukaryota; Metazoa; Chordata; Mammalia; Rodentia; Cricetidae.